AAAGGGAGAUAAGAUCAAAUUAUUUUUGAUCUAAUUGGGGGAUAUCAUUACUCCUUAAAUAGAGGUGACCAACAGCUGAAAAAAAAGAAAAAGUGAAGAAAAACAGAGGAAGAUACGGCAGCAGAGGAGCGUAACAUUCGAGCAAAGAAGAAGUUCAAAUUUAACUAGCCAAAACCGAUCAAGCAGCUGUAGCAGCAGUCCAAGAUUUCAGCUAAUCGGGAGAAGGGAAGCUCGACGAUUUUAGGAAUUUUCUUCUCCAAGAUUCAGUCUAUAAUUUAUGUUGUUUACAGUUGAUUUUUUUUUCAUUUCGAUUGCUAUGAGUGGUUAAAUUAAUUAAGCUCAGUUAGACACUUAUGAAACUAGCACAAGGAAAUUGUAGGUUUAUUUUGUUUAAAUUCGGAUUUAGCAUUCUUGAGUUGCUAAUUUUAUCGUUCAAGGAAUGUUUUCUAAAUUAAUUAGAUUGAUCGCCUAUCUAAUUUAGGACUUUUCUCACAAUCAUCUAAGUGAAAUUGAGUAAUCGAAUUUCUUAAUUAAACUUAGAAUCAGUGAUAAUGAAUUAGCAUGCCGCUAAUUAACUCAACUUCGGAUUUAAUUUUGGAAGCCGCUGGAGGAUUUUCUUUAAUUAACGCAAGGUGAAAUCUCUAAAAUAAUUAGUGCACUUUUAAUUAAAAAUUAAAGGUAGGUAUUCAAGUAUGAAUGUUCUCUAUUUGAAUUUGAAUUUACUUGGGAUAAGAAUUCAUUUCGUAAGUGAUUUUCUUCAGCCUUGUUGCUAGAUUAGACUAUUAAAAUAAUUAAAUAACGCUAAGGACUUGUGCUAGGUGGAUUAAGGAGUACUAACUGAGCACUCUUUCUCUUAAUUUGACAACCUUUCAGCAUUUACAAUUUACGUUACAUUUUAUUUGUUACCAAAGAGCAUUAUUAGAAACCCCCCCAUUUUUCCUUUCUCGCAUAUGUUUAUACUAACUUGAUUUCAAUUCUUUUCAAAUAGGUUUAACACGAGCUUCUUCGUGGGACGAUUUCGUACUCACUCUAUAUUACCAGUUAAUAUUGGUUGAGAAGGGGAUUAAAUUCGGUGGACGUAACGACAACUACCAAUCAGCUAUGUCGCGACACCCAAGGCAGUAUAACAAUUCUGUCAUUUUGCUCCCUAUAUUGUGACAUCAAAUUCCCCAUAUUGCAACAAAGCGACC
Molecule: long non-coding RNA, 1190 nt
Filed under: Gossypium raimondii (Peruvian cotton)
Lineage: Eukaryota; Viridiplantae; Streptophyta; Magnoliopsida; Malvales; Malvaceae
Description: long non-coding RNA (GRAI_LNC010510)
Source: RNAcentral